GAUGAACGCUGGCGGCGUGCUUAACACAUGCAAGUCGAACGAAGCAUUUAAGACAGAUUACUUCGGUUUGAAGUCUUUUAUGACUGAGUGGCGGACGGGUGAGUAACGCGUGGGUAACCUGCCUCAUACAGGGGGAUAGCAGCUGGAAACGGCUGGUAAUACCGCAUAAGCGCACAGUACCACAUGGUACAGUGUGAAAAACUCCGGUGGUAUGAGAUGGACCCGCGUCUGAUUAGCUUGUUGGCGGGGUAACGGCCCACCAAGGCGACGAUCAGUAGUCGACCUGAGAGGGUGACCGGCCACAUUGGGACUGAGACACGGCCCAGACUCCUACGGGAGGCAGCAGUGGGGAAUAUUGCACAAUGGAGGAAACUCUGAUGCAGCGACGCCGCGUGAGUGAAGAAGUAGUUCGCUAUGUAAAGCUCUAUCAGCAGGGAAGAUAGUGACGGUACCUGACGAAGAAGCUCCGGCUAAAUACGUG
Molecule: ribosomal RNA, 481 nt
Filed under: uncultured bacterium
Lineage: Bacteria
Description: partial 16S ribosomal RNA
Rfam family: Bacterial small subunit ribosomal RNA
Source: RNAcentral